GGAUCGAUGAUGACUUAAAAAUGGAUCUUGUUGGAAUCUGAACAAAAUGAGUGACCAAGCCAUUUCUGUGCCACUUCUGUGAGCUGAGGUCC
Molecule: small nucleolar RNA, 92 nt
Organism: Carlito syrichta (Philippine tarsier)
Lineage: Eukaryota; Metazoa; Chordata; Mammalia; Primates; Tarsiidae
Gene: SNORD116
Rfam family: Small nucleolar RNA SNORD116
About the family: HBII-85 is a member of the C/D class of snoRNAs, which contain the C (UGAUGA) and D (CUGA) box motifs. HBII-85 is encoded in a tandemly repeated array with another C/D snoRNA, HBII-52, in the Prader-Willi syndrome (PWS) region of chromosome 15. Unlike most other snoRNAs, HBII-85 is expressed prevalently in the brain (but is absent in PWS patients) and lacks any significant complementarity with ribosomal RNA.
Source: Ensembl